UGGGGAAUAUUGCACAAUGGGCGCAAGCCUGAUGCAGCCAUGCCGCGUGUGUGAAGAAGGCCUUCGGGUUGUAAAGCACUUUCAGCGAGGAGGAAGGGUAGUGUGUUAAUAGCACAUUGCAUUGACGUUACUCGCAGAAGAAGCACCGGCUAACUCCGUGCCAGCAGCCGCGGUAAUACGGAGGGGGCAAGCGUUAAUCGGAAUUACUGGGCGUAAAGCGCACGCAGGCGGUUUGUUAAGUCAGAUGUGAAAUCCCCGCGCUUAACGUGGGAACUGCAUUUGAAACUGGCAAGCUAGAGUCUUGUAGAGGGGGGUAGAAUUCCAGGUGUAGCGGUGAAAUGCGUAGAGAUCUGGAGGAAUACCGGUGGCGAAGGUGGCCCCCUGGACAAAGACUGACGCUCAGGUGCGAAAGCGUGGGGAGCAAACA
This 427-nucleotide ribosomal RNA is filed under the name uncultured bacterium. Its description in RNAcentral is "partial 16S ribosomal RNA". It matches the Rfam family "Bacterial small subunit ribosomal RNA", at positions 355 to 774 of the family's 1533-position model. The record is from RNAcentral.